CCUAACCCUAAUUUCUGAAAAGGCUACUACAAUAGGAACAAAUCCCAUUGUGGUAGAUUCUAAAUGAACAAAUAAAAGGUAAAACGAUCAGAUCCAACAAAGCAUCUUGUUUUCUAGAAUCAGACAAAGCACUCAGGAUCGUACAUAGCUAUUCACAAUCAAUUGACAUAUUUCACAGGAUCUUGUAUUGACUGAUAUGUCUUCCAUCUUUUUCUAAGCACAAAUCUAAACAUAACACUUUCUUUAAAAUUCACUAGAUAGAUACAGUAACAUUAUAGAGCUAUAAACAUACCUCGUCAUUACUAGAAGUAGGAAAAUACUUAACUUACUGGUGUUCUUCUUUAACAGUUCAGUAGAUGGCUUCUUUCAACAAAAAGAUCUUCUAUAAAGAAGAGAGAGAGAGAGAGAGAGAGAGAGCGGGCGAGCGAUUAAUGGAGAGACGAAUGAAUGAAAAAGGAAAAAAUCCCGGAAAAAUAUUUAUGGAUUUAGCUUUAAAAAAAAAAAAGGAGAGCAGAAAUUACGGAAGAGAAGCUGUAUUUAGGGAAGAAGAUGGGUGAUAUGACGGGUCGCUGUCUUCAUGAGAGUCAGAGAAAGCGAUGGCAUCUACAAAUCUGGAAAAAGAGAAGAGAAAAAUUAUACUUUUU
RNAcentral lists this long non-coding RNA (644 nucleotides) under Olea europaea subsp. europaea. The record is from RNAcentral. Lineage: Eukaryota; Viridiplantae; Streptophyta; Magnoliopsida; Lamiales; Oleaceae.